UACGUAGGGGGCUAGCGUUGUCCGGAUUUAUUGGGCGUAAAGAGCGUGUAGGCGGCCAGGUAGGUCCGCUGUGAAAGUCCGAGGCUCAACCUCGGAAUGUCGGCGGAAACCCUCUGGCUAGAGUCCGGAAGAGGAGAGUGGAAUUCCCGGUGUAGCGGUGAAAUGCGCAGAUAUCGGGAAGAACACCCGUGGCGAAGGCGGCUCUCUGGAACGGUACUGACGCUGAGGCGCGAAAGCCAGGGGAGCAAACGGG
Molecule: ribosomal RNA, 253 nt
Filed under: uncultured bacterium
Lineage: Bacteria
Description: partial 16S ribosomal RNA
Rfam family: Bacterial small subunit ribosomal RNA
Source: RNAcentral